GAUGAACGCUGGCGGCGUGCCUAAUACAUGCAAGUCGAGCGAACGGACGAGAAGCUUGCUUCUCUGAUGUUAGCGGCGGACGGGUGAGUAACACGUGGAUAACCUACCUAUAAGACUGGGAUAACUUCGGGAAACCGUAGCUAAUACCGGAUAAUAUUUUGAACCGCAUGGUUCAAAAGUGAAAGACGGUCUUGCUGUCACUUAUAGAUGGAUCCGCGCUGCAUUAGCUAGUUGGUAAGGUAACGGCUUACCAAGGCAACGAUGCAUAGCCGACCUGAGAGGGUGAACCGCCACACUGGAACUGAGACACGGUCCAGACUCCUACGGGAGGCAGCAGUAGGGAAUCUUCCGCAAUGGGCGAAAGCCUGACGGAGCAACGCCGCGUGAGUGAUGAAGGUCUUCGGAUCGUAAAACUCUGUUAUUAGGGAAGAACAUAUGUGUAAGUAACUGUGCACAUCUUGACGGUACCUAAUCAGAAAGCCACGGCUAACUACGUG
Molecule: ribosomal RNA, 497 nt
Filed under: uncultured bacterium
Lineage: Bacteria
Description: partial 16S ribosomal RNA
Rfam family: Bacterial small subunit ribosomal RNA
Source: RNAcentral